GCGUCUGUAGUGUAAUUGGUAGCACGCUGUCCUUCCAAGUCAGUAGCGGGGUUCGAGUCCCAACAGACGCU
This 71-nucleotide transfer RNA is filed under the name Pseudoalteromonas phage Pq0. It matches the Rfam family "tRNA". From Rfam's summary of the family: Transfer RNA (tRNA) molecules are approximately 80 nucleotides in length. Their secondary structure includes four short double-helical elements and three loops (D, anti-codon, and T loops). Further hydrogen bonds mediate the characteristic L-shaped molecular structure. tRNAs have two regions of fundamental functional importance: the anti-codon, which is responsible for specific mRNA codon recognition, and the 3' end, to which the tRNAs corresponding amino acid is attached (by aminoacyl-tRNA synthetases). tRNAs cope with the degeneracy of the genetic code in two manners: having more than one tRNA (with a specific anti-codon) for a particular amino acid; and 'wobble' base-pairing, i.e. permitting non-standard base-pairing at the 3rd anti-codon position. The record is from Rfam by way of RNAcentral. Lineage: Duplodnaviria; Heunggongvirae; Uroviricota; Caudoviricetes.